AUGUGCACUGCAACUCCGCAGUCUGCAAGUGCCAGGUGCUGUUUGGUCAAUAUGAUUGUUGGGGGUGGCUAUUUUGAAGGUUCCCAUGAUCAUAAUCUCAUGCCGGGAUCUUUAAUAAAACCUGACUUUGCAAAUGAGAGGCAGAGGAGGGAAUGGAUGAAUGUAGCGUUCUGGGCUUUAAGAAUCCUCCUCCCCGAUCCCAAGGACGACAGGGUCUCAAAUGUAGAGGAUGCCAUUGAAUACAUACAUGAGCUGAACCGGACAGUGAAGGAACUGAAGAUCCUAGUAGAACAGAAGAGGCAUGGGACUAAUAGGAAAAAGAUGAUAAAGAUGGACGAAGAGGCAGCUUCCGAUGGCGAGAACUCAUCGACGAUGCCAGUGAGGGAUGAGCAAGACAAUGAGCUCGAUUGGGCCAUAAGGAGCUCCUGGGUGCAGAGGAGGUCCCAGGAAUGCCGUGUUGAUGUCCACAUAGUGGAAAAUGCAGUAAACGUCCAGCUCACUGAAUGGAAGAACGCCAACUCCCUGCCUCAUGCCGCGAAGGUUCUCGACGAGUUCCAUCUUGAGAUCAUCAGCGUGGUCGGACAGAUUGUUGGCGAUCACCGCAUAUUCAUCUUCAACACUAAGGUAUCUGAAGGCUGCUCGGUGUAUGCCCUUGCAGUGGCCGAGAGGCUCUUUCAAGCAGUUGAUGCACAGCACCAGGCCCUCAACAUACUCGGCCAGGCUCUAGCAACCAAACUGACUAUCUGA
Molecule: ribosomal RNA, 747 nt
Filed under: Triticum aestivum (bread wheat)
Lineage: Eukaryota; Viridiplantae; Streptophyta; Magnoliopsida; Poales; Poaceae
Description: partial small subunit ribosomal RNA
Source: RNAcentral